UGUUAUUGUUGUGGACAAAAAUAUUAACCCAAUCCAUGUUAGUAAAAUGCCUAUUUACUCAGCAUAACUACAAUCAGCAUUAUUCAACUUUCUAUGUGAUUUACCUAAAAUGGCCACUAGGGAGUUUCCCCUUUGACAUCGACUAACACCCUCAUUAACAAGAUGGCGCUGGAAUCUGGGGGAGACCUCCAAGAUACCAGUGACAUCACACCCGGU
Non-coding RNA from Pelobates cultripes (western spadefoot toad), 216 nucleotides. The record is from the annotation of a GenBank genome assembly. NCBI's taxonomy places the organism in Eukaryota, Metazoa, Chordata, Amphibia, Anura, Pelobatidae.